RNAcentral lists this ribosomal RNA (433 nucleotides) under uncultured bacterium. Its description in RNAcentral is "partial 16S ribosomal RNA". It matches the Rfam family "Bacterial small subunit ribosomal RNA", at positions 29 to 507 of the family's 1533-position model. The record is from RNAcentral.
AACGAACGCUGGCGGCAUGCCUAACACAUGCAAGUCGAACGAGACCUUCGGGUCUAGUGUCGCACGGGUGCGUAACGCGUGGGAACCUGCACUUAGGUUCGGAAUAACUCCCCGACAGGGGUGCUAAUACCGGAUAAUGUCUUCGGACCAAAGAUUUAUCGCCUUUGGAUGGGCCCGCGUUGGAUUAGCUAGUUGGUAGGGUAAAAGCCUAACACGGCGACGAUCCAUAGCUGGUCAGAGAGGAUGAUCAGCCACACUGGGACUGAGACACGGCCCAGACUCUUACGGGAGGCAGCAGUGGGGAAUAGUGGACAAUGGGCGAAAGCCUGAUCCAGCAAUGCCGCGUGAGUGAUGAAGGCAUUAGGGUUGUAAAGCUCUUGUACCCGGGAUGAUAAUGACAGUACCGGGAGAAUAAGCUCCGGCUAACUCCGUG